UACAUGGGGUGCAAACGUUGCUCGGAAUCAUUGGGCGUAAAGCGCGCGUAGGCGGUUACACAAGUUGGAUGUGAAAGCCCUCGGCUUAACUGAGGAAGUGCAUCCAAAACUGUGCAGCUAGAGUACUAAAGAGGGUCGCGGAAUUCCCGGUGUAGAGGUGAAAUUCGUAGAUAUCGGGGGGAACACCGGUGGCGAAGGCGGCGACCUGGGUAGAUACUGACGCUGAGGCGCGAAAGCGUGGGGAGCAAACAGG
RNAcentral lists this ribosomal RNA (253 nucleotides) under uncultured bacterium. RNAcentral's name for it is "partial 16S ribosomal RNA". It matches the Rfam family "Bacterial small subunit ribosomal RNA", at positions 524 to 776 of the family's 1533-position model. The record is from RNAcentral.